CCUACGGGUGGCAGCAGUGGGGAAUAUUGCACAAUGGGGGAAACCCUGAUGCAGCGACGCCGCGUGAGUGAAGAAGGAUUUCGGUAUGUAAAGCUCUAUCAGCAGGGAAGAAAAUGACGGUACCUGACUAAGAAGCCCCGGCUAACUACGUGCCAGCAGCCGCGGUAAUACGGAGGGGGCAAGCGUUCUCCGGAUUUACUGGGUGUAAAGGGAGCGUAGACGGCCAGACAAGUCAGAAGUGAAAGCCCAGGGCUCAACCCGGGGACUGCAUUUGAAACUGGCUGGCUAGAGUGCAGGAGAGGGAAGCGGAAUUCCUAGUGUAGCGGUGAAAUGCGUAGAUAUGAGGAGGAACACCAGUGGCGAAGGCGGCUUACUGGAAUGUAACUGACGUUGAUGCUCGAAAGCGUGGGGAGCAAACAGGAUUAGAUACCCCUGUAGUC
RNAcentral lists this ribosomal RNA (440 nucleotides) under uncultured bacterium. RNAcentral describes it as "partial 16S ribosomal RNA". It matches the Rfam family "Bacterial small subunit ribosomal RNA", at positions 338 to 795 of the family's 1533-position model. The record is from RNAcentral.